Molecule: ribosomal RNA, 253 nt
Filed under: uncultured bacterium
Lineage: Bacteria
Description: partial 16S ribosomal RNA
Rfam family: Bacterial small subunit ribosomal RNA
Source: RNAcentral
UACGGAGGGUGCAAGCGUUAUCCGGAAUCAUUGGGUUUAAAGGGUUCGUAGGCGGAUAUAUAAGUCAGUGGUGAAAUCCUAUAGCUCAACUAUAGAUGUGCCAUUGAAACUGUUUAUCUUGAGUUACUGUGCAGUAGGAGGAAUGUGUGGUGUAGCGGUGAAAUGCAUAGAUAUCACACAGAACACCGAUUGCGAAGGCAUCUUACUAACAGUUAACUGACGCUAUUGAACGAAAGCGUGGGUAGCGAACAGG